GAGUUUGAUCAUGGCUCAGGAUGAACGCUGGCGGCGUGCCUAACACAUGCAAGUCGAACGAAGCGCCUGGCCCCGACUUCUUCGGAACGAGGAGCCUUGCGACUGAGUGGCGGACGGGUGAGUAACGCGUGGGCAACCUGCCUUGCACUGGGGGAUAACAGCCAGAAAUGGCUGCUAAUACCGCAUAAGACCGAAGCGCCGCAUGGCGCGGCGGCCAAACGCCCCGGCGGUGCAAGAUGGGCCCCGCGUCUGAUUAGGUAGUUGGCGGGUAACGGCCCACCAAGCCGACGAUCAGUAGCCGACCUGAGAGGAAGGUCCCCCACAUUGGAACUGAGACACGGUCCAAACUCCUACGGGA
RNAcentral lists this ribosomal RNA (358 nucleotides) under uncultured bacterium. Its description in RNAcentral is "bacterial SSU rRNA". It matches the Rfam family "Bacterial small subunit ribosomal RNA", at positions 9 to 346 of the family's 1533-position model. The record is from RNAcentral.